RNAcentral lists this ribosomal RNA (253 nucleotides) under uncultured bacterium. RNAcentral describes it as "partial 16S ribosomal RNA". It matches the Rfam family "Bacterial small subunit ribosomal RNA", at positions 524 to 776 of the family's 1533-position model. The record is from RNAcentral.
UACGUAGGGUGCAGGCGUUAAUCGGAAUUACUGGGCGUAAAGCGUGCGCAGGCGGUUUGCUAAGACAGGUGUGAAAUCCCCGGGCUUAACCUGGGAACUGCGCUUGUAACUGGCAAGCUGGAGUGUGGCAGAGGGGGGUGGAAUUCCACGUGUAGCAGUGAAAUGCGUAGAGAUGUGGAGGAACACCGAUGGCGAAGGCAGCCCCCUGGGUCAAGAUUGACGCUCAUGCACGAAAGCGUGGGGAGCAAACAGG